CAGGACGCAAGUCCAGGUGACUCAACAGCUCCAGAGCCAGCGACAGUAUUUCCUAUGGUACUCUUGAGAUGGCCCCCAACGAGAAGUGCCCCUAGCAGUCCAACUAUCCCGAGCAUCAUGCCAUCUCCCUUAUCCACGUUUCGGAAGUUGUUCCUAGCAGCAUCUGCACUGAUUGAUAAUGUGAUACCUCCGACGUUCUUGUGUCCCACCGGUUUUUGAGAAAGAACUGGAGCCUCAGAAUCAGAACUUGUCCUCGUUAUAUCACCUUCGGGCACUUCUUCAAAUUCUUCACCCUCUUCUUCCUCGUCCAGUUCUCGCAAAUUUAGGCCCUCGGAAUUUUCACCUAUCUCGGAUUCUCUUUGUAUGAGCGUCAAGAGCAUCUCAACCACUCCAUUUUUCAUCAGCAAAUCCGCGAAGGUCGCAGCACGAGCAGCAUUUGGCUGUACAACAAGUCUAUACAAUAAAUGCAAAACUCGCGCGACCUGCCAAGCACAAACACGCAGGUAAAUUCGCAAGACAAAGCUAAUGACGAAAAUGUUUUUACCUGGUUGGGCUGUGGGCAGUCAAGAACAAAUUGUACCAAGCAGCGAACAUCAGACGCUGCAAUAGGUCCCUGAGCCGAUCCAGUUAAAAGCUCCACAAUCACCAGAAGCUCGUCGACGAGAGCAUUGAUUUCUCCCAAAGGCCUAGUAUUUUUGCCACCCGCAAAUGAAUGCACCGAGUGCGGCUCCGGAACAAUCCAGUAACAAGAUCUACAACCGUCCAGCAGCAUUUGAACUGCAUUUGCAGCUCUCAUUGUCUUCUCCUCGGUGAAAACCAUAUCUGCAAGUGAUGAUAGCAGCUUCUUUUGCAAGCCGUAACUGCACCUGCUCCAAAGCUUCAGAUCGAGAAGCAAGCUACUGUAUAGCUGCACUUCCAAGGUAGCAUUCCCCUUAGGUGCCUGACAAAGGGACACCACGGCGGCCACAAGCUCUUCGUCUCUUUCCUGUCCGUCCACUGACUUCGAAAUUGAUGAGAUAACCAGAAGGUGGCCCAAAAGAUGUGCAAGUAGUUCUGGUGCGUGGCCUCUUGUCAUCUCGUCCGCGUUGCCUGGGUACUUGAGAGCAGUAGCCAAUAUACGCAAGAUCGGCCCCGAUAGAAAUGAUGAUCUUACGGAGAGAGUGAUAUCACCAGCAUUUGGCUGCAACGUUUCCUUGUUGACGCUUCCAACCACAAGGGGGAGUAGCGCUAGAGGACCUCCUUCACCCAUCGCCCAGACAGCUUCCAUGGGCUUCACGCGAGAAGCAACGUGGACAUGGCCAAGAACCUCAGCCGGCCUUCUGUGCAAACCUGGAGCAAAAAAUCAUUAGUAAACUUGUCAGCAAGCAAAACUAACUACGAACCUGACGAUCCCGCAGGAGAAAUAUCUAUGCACGACCUCCCGAUCAGCAGCUGAGGAUGGUACAGUAAAUGAAUCUUCGGCCCGAUUUCAAUGUCCAGUGCUACACUUUCUUCCGCCAAGGCCCUCGAUUCCUCGGAUAUAGCAAGCCAAGGUAGUCCAGCACCAUUCCCGAAUGUAGGAACGACAUCACCACCCCUUGCUGCCAACCGGUUCAUCUUGUCCUGACCAAUUGGUUCUUUGAAAAUGUAGAUCGGUCCGACCUCCGCAAACAAAGGACACUGACGCCGCCUUCUCUGAAGUCCAGCCAUUGCCGGUGGAGGAUUUGUGCCGAUGCAGCAAAACGCUAGCGGCUUGGACACGCGCGGAAAAUCAAAAGGACGUGCUUCGUAGAGCCUGCCGUCAACGUAGAGCUUCACUUCGCUGUCUCCCUUUCCAAUCAGACUCUGUUUGAAGAUAUGCUCCAGGCCCACGAAGUACCACCUCCGCGGCUUGAACGCAUAGGUGAAGUGAAGAGACGACUUCUUUCCUUUGGCCACGGCACUCUCGACCACGAGAAACUGCCCGUGGAAGUACGCUUCAACUCCCUGGUUGUCUGCUGACAGAAAGCUGAAAAGCCGAGGCAUAUGUGCAGUUCCUUCCCCCGCUAGAGCACUUGCUGCGGCUGCUGCUGACAUCGCUGACGACUUCCCCGUCUUCGCGGCCGCAGCGACAGCAAUGGCAGCAGCAGUCGUCGCAGUGUUGAGUGUGUCCGCAAAACUUUCGAUAUAAAGCCAGGUAGCAAACGCAUAACCGUUGCCAAAUGGCCACUUGCUGUCUCCAGGGCCGAGUAAUCCAGAACUCUCUCCAUCGAACUCGAAAGUGUAGGCAGGACCUCUCGUUUCUUCUCCCGCCAUUGUCUUCUCCAAUGCGAGAACAAGAUCAAGCGACUGUCCAGUCUCCGUUACCGUGAAGAGCCAGUGACGGAGGUCCACUACUGUCAAACAGUGAGAUCCCAGUGCCUGGAUAGCAUCUAGCAAAGGACUAGCAUCCCACUCGUGACCUUGUUCUUCAGCAGCUGCCUUUCGAGCGAAAAGUAUUCGUGCCGCUUCUAGGAGAACUCUGAGCAGCCCGGCCGCCGAACACAUCGCUCUGUUCCGCGUGCAUGCCUGAAGAGUCAUAGUGAUGCCUUUGGCGAUUCUCGUUCUCGGCGACACGAAAAUCCCAGUAUCUCCCUCUGACGAAAGCCAAGGAAUAAGCUCUCCGGCCACGAUCGCAGCCCCGGCACUCAGCAUCAUCUUUGGCGCAGCAGUGUCGUCCAGAGCUUCAAUGCCACCCAUCUUUGCAAGAAGAAUCUCCACCACCAGCCUCGCACGAGUAUCAUUGUCAACUUUGCCGUCGCCACCUUCUAUACUCUCUUCACCAGCCACCACCCUCUUGAGCUUGUGCAAGCUUUUCUGGUCGGCGUCGGCGCCCUGGAUCGCCGAAUCAAUGAGGCGCAUGAGCUCUGGAGACGCGUCGGGAAGAACAGCCUUUCCCCGCGAGUGGAGAGGAGACCCCAGCGACGAGCUCUUGGGACUGGCAUUCCCCGAGUUUAAAACGGUGAUGCUACUCACCGAGUCACGGGCCGAGGAAAAACCACUGGGAGUACCGACGUUGUCGUUCAAGCUCACCUCGUCAAACUGAUCCUCGAGCUUCACCACCGACGAGGACCCAGGCGAAUUCCCUGCGGUGGACUCAUCAACCUCUUCUAUCUCCCCGCCGCCAUCUUCUCUUCUCGACGACAUAACUAGAUCGUGGAACCCAUUCCCGUCGAUCUUCCCCUCUACAAUGCCGCCACUCCUAUCGAACAGAUUUACAUUGUCGAAAUCUUCCCCUGGCAAUUCCUCUGCAUGCCCGCCAUCGCCAGAUCUAGCGCGCAGCUCGACCGCCGCCGGAUUCCGCUCCAAUUUCGAUCCAUCGCUGUGCUCCAAAUAACUGGCGCCUCUAUCUACAUCGUCCCCCGCAUCUCGAAAGUCCAGAUCGCCGCUCGGAUCGCGGCCUUCCAUUCCCUGGCGCUGACGAAUCCGGGGGAGGGAAAGAAGCUAUACACCCGAUGCGUGCCAGAUCUAAGCUUGACGAAGAAAUUCCUCCCCUCCUCCGCGGGGCGAAUCAAUCCGGAAUUUAUUUUCUUUACCUCCUCCAGCAGCUGGACGCGCCCGGUCGCGCGCGCAUCCCCAGCGCCCUCCAAAUGCGACUCAGCUCAUCCCUCCCAUAAACCCUAACCCUAGGCCAAGCUCGUGGUAACGCGGUGUGGCCAUACAUUCCCUCUUGUACGGAACACAUGCACACAAAAGAAGAGCUCUGAGCCUCGCUAGGGUUUAACCAAGAAAGCAUAUUCUAAGGCGUGACGAAUAUUCCAUCUGGGCAACAAAGGGUUGAAAAGAAUGGGAAAUUUUAGGGCAAGGGAGGGCGAGCCAUGGAGGCUGCCAGCGGCGACGAUGUCGCGGUGUACGAGCGCGACGUCUCCGCCUCGUCGACGGUGCGAUUCCCGGCGCGGCGGCCUCAAUCAGCGGAGCUAAAGAUGAGCUCAGGCAGUGACGAGAACGCCAGUAGCGCCACCAAGCUAUGGCAGGUCAGAUCACUCCUCUUUCUCUCCUCUUUCUCUCGUAGCUAGGCCAGCCAGUGGCACUGCGGCAUUCAUUCAUCCGUCCAUCCUCGGAUUCCUCCGAAAAUCCGUUGGAAGAGAGAAAUUUCUCGCCAGUCCUCUGUUCUUCGCGUGUGAGAGGAGUAAGUAGUACGAACGAGAGGCUUUCUCGAUGCUGGAGCCCGUACCUCCAUCAUCCAAGAGAGAAAACUAAGCAUCAGUACUGUGCGUCGAGAGCAUGAGAGCUAUCAUCUCUCACAUAAUCCUUUGAGAGCAAUCAUCCCUCCCAUAAUCCAUUCUCGAGUCGCGUGAGCGUCCCCAUAGAAUUCUUUCGUCCCAUACUUCUCGCGCUUAGAUCUUUCCUUUUUGUUCUCGAUCUCUCUCUUCUCACAGGUUUAUCUUUUGGGAGGAGUUAUGGUUGGGCGGUGGGCUUGGGCUCGCUGGAAGGAGAGGAGCUCCAGAGGCCUCGGCGGGCAUGCUUGAAUCAAUCGGUUAAAACCCUGCGUCCUGGAUGAGAGGCAAGCGCUUUUUAUUCUAGACGCCUUCUAGACAGACAGCGUAGCUGGCCACUACGAUCAUUCUCGUUUGAUACGCGAGUCUUAAAUCUACUUUGUGGUAAUUAACAUGGAUCUUCCAUAUGAAUACGAGGAUCAUCACCACCUUUCAUCCACAAAGCUUACAAUGUUUUACCAGUAAGUUUAACAUUGGGAGUGGUAAAAUCAUCAAGACAAGACAAUGUAGCUGUGGGGGAGUGCUGGAAAAAUCCAAUCGUGUCAGCUUUUUCUAUGUUCGUUGCUCGUGAUUGUCGACUUCGCACAGGUUCUUUCUAUGUUUCGCGGAUGAUGAUUGGACUGGGCUGGACGAUUGACAUCAUAGAUUGUUGCGAAGAACUUUUGGAGAGAAAAGAUCUGCGAGACGACAAGAUGACAAAUGUAAGAGUGCCCAGCUUCGUACACAAGAAAAAUCCAAUAAUGCGGUAUCCUUUGCCAGGGACAACUCGAAUCACGCUCCACUUUGGAUCAUCAUAUCGAGAUUCUCACUCGUAACAGUUUGUUCCGCGAGGGAUUCGAAGAUUCCGACUUCUUUUGCAAAAACAAUAGCUC
Molecule: long non-coding RNA, 5086 nt
Filed under: Selaginella moellendorffii
Lineage: Eukaryota; Viridiplantae; Streptophyta; Lycopodiopsida; Selaginellales; Selaginellaceae
Description: long non-coding RNA (SMOE_LNC000431)
Source: RNAcentral